RNAcentral lists this ribosomal RNA (466 nucleotides) under Vreelandella stevensii. RNAcentral's name for it is "partial 16S ribosomal RNA". It matches the Rfam family "Bacterial small subunit ribosomal RNA", at positions 338 to 795 of the family's 1533-position model. The record is from RNAcentral. Lineage: Bacteria; Pseudomonadati; Pseudomonadota; Gammaproteobacteria; Oceanospirillales; Halomonadaceae.
CCUACGGGUGGCUGCAGUGGGGAAUAUUGGACAAUGGGCGAAAGCCUGAUCCAGCCAUGCCGCGUGUGUGAAGAAGGCCUUCGGGUUGUAAAGCACUUUCAGUGGGGAAGAAAGCCUUGGGGCUAAUACCCUCGAGGAAGGACAUCACCCACAGAAGAAGCACCGGCUAACUCCGUGCCAGCAGCCGCGGUAAUACAGGAGGGUGCGAGCGUUAAUCGGAAUUACUGGGCGUAAAGCGCGCGUAGGCGGUCUGAUAAGCCGGUUGUGAAAGCCCCGGGCUCAACCUGGGAACGGCAUCCGGAACUGUCAGGCUAGAGUGCAGGAGAGGAAGGUAGAAUUCCCGGUGUAGCGGUGAAAUGCGUAGAGAUCGGGAGGAAUACCAGUGGCGAAGGCGGCCUUCUGGACUGACACUGACGCUGAGGUGCGAAAGCGUGGGUAGCAAACAGGAUUAGAUACCCGGGUAGUC